AUGAGCCACCGUGCCCAGCCAUCACCAUGCUUUCUAUACAGCCUGCAGAACCAUGAGCCAAUUGAACCUCUUUUCUUCAUAGAUUACCCAGCCCUGAGUAUUCCUUUAUAGUGAUGCAAAAUGGACUAACACACCUCUGAUGUCUUUCCUCUUCCAGGAGAACUUUCCCAAUGAAAGAAAACGAAUGAAACUAUGCCUGCUGUCAUUCCCAACUUCAUACUGGGCCCUGUACUAGAUGAACUGGGGGCUCACAUAGGAAAUGACUAGCCUAAGAUGGCAGAGCAAGAACUGGAUCCUGGAUUGGAAUGCAUUGAGCAUGUGGCUCUAUCCUGAGGGUGGAGGUCUAGGGGGCCGGGAGAACUUGACAAUGGAUUUAGUCCACCUGGAAUCAGUGUUCUGCUGCCUCCUCGGGGACCAGAGCUGCUCUCCUCCUCAUGUGUCCAGUCCUGGUGGGACAGCCUUCUACGGCGCUGUCCCCAGAGAUCUCAGACAGGUAAAAGGAGGAUGAUAAUGAUAAUACUGAAGAUUGAAUGAAUGAAUGAAGAAAUGUCAAGUGUUUGGUGUCAGGCCUCCCUGUGUGUCAAGAACUCAGAGCUGGAUUUCCUCAAGUGUAACAUUGUUGUUAGGGUUACCGUGAUCACUGUGGGGCAGCCAUCCCCUGUCUCCCCUCCGGGUACACCAGAGCCAGAGAGCAGCCCAGCAGGGCCUUCAGGGGCACCAGGAUUUUCAGACAGUGGCAUAGCUGUCAUCCUCCAUUUCCCUGACCAGGGCAGGGGUCCAGUGGGGCUGGCCAGCAGCCCCUGCUGUCACGAUCUGAUUGGAGUUUCAUUAGUAGGAAAGGCUGGAUCCUGGCACCUGCACACCUCCAGGAGGGAGUGGGGCUCCCAAUGCCCAUCUGGGGACAUUGCAUUAAAGGGUUCCUUUCCACAGGCUCAAUCUUCAGAUGCCUCAGCCCUCCCCGAGCCCUGACCACAAGCCAAAUGGCGCUGGACCACAGUAUCAGGGUUCUCCAGCGACUCCAUCCUCCAGGGAGGAAGAGGUGGUGAAUUUCCGAGCUGGGACAGAACCCAGAGUGGCUGGAGCAGGCCAGCACCUCGCCUCAUAUACUUGGAGCCUGGAGACAUCAGGCAGCAAAUGAGAAGCAUUUUAAGGUUCUCUGACUAUUUUCUUUUUUAAUUAAUUAAUUAGUUCAUUAAUUUUUUAAUUUAAAAAUUUUUCUUACCUCUGGUUCAAGUUCUCAUGACCGAUUCCUUAAGGUUGCAACACAUGAACAUGCCUUUCCUCCAAGAAAAUUUAGAGAAUUCAGAUUAGUAAAAAGAAGAAAAUAAAAGUCUUCCAUAAACUUAUAAUCUGAGGAUAAUGUCUUUUAAUGCUUUUUCCUUCCUGUCUUUUUUCUAUGAGCAGAUAUACAUACAGGCUUUAAAAAUAUACCUUGAAAAUAGAAGCAUUCUCUAUGUGAAGUGCUUAGCAUAUUACCUAGCACAUAGUGAGUACUCAGUAAACCUUUACUGUUACUAUUAUUAUUUCUAUUUUAUAGCCUGAUUUUUCUCUCUUAAAUGGAAUUUCAGCUCCAUGAGAAUUAGAACCUUGUAAGCCUCAUUAACCUCUGUUAGUCUAGCGCUUAGCACAUAAUAGGUGCUCAAUAAACAUUUUUAAAUAGAUGAAAGAAUAAACAUUUUUCUUUCUCAUUAGAU
This 1694-nucleotide long non-coding RNA is filed under the name Homo sapiens (human). Its description in RNAcentral is "HSALNT0003423". The record is from RNAcentral. Lineage: Eukaryota; Metazoa; Chordata; Mammalia; Primates; Hominidae.